Molecule: ribosomal RNA, 216 nt
Filed under: Glomeromycotina sp.
Lineage: Eukaryota; Fungi; Glomeromycota
Description: partial small subunit ribosomal RNA
Rfam family: Eukaryotic small subunit ribosomal RNA (bases 40-216)
Source: RNAcentral
GGGUCAGUAGGUUGGUCGUGCCACCGGUACGUACUGGUCUCACUGAUUCCUCCUUCCUGAAGAACCGUAAUGCCAUUAAUUUGGUGUUGCGGGGAAACAGGACUGUUACUUUGAAAAAAUUAGAGUGUUUAAAGCAAGCUAACGCUUGAAUACAUUAGCAUGGAAUAAUGAAAUAGGACGAUCGGUCCUAUUUUGUUGGUUUCCAGGAUUGACGUA